Molecule: long non-coding RNA, 2034 nt
Organism: Numida meleagris (helmeted guineafowl)
Lineage: Eukaryota; Metazoa; Chordata; Aves; Galliformes; Numididae
Source: Ensembl
GCCAGGAUGCCAUUGGCCUUCUUAGCCACCUGGGCACACUGCUGGCUCAUGCUCAGCCGAGCAUCGACCAAUACCCCCAGGUCCGUUUCCUCCACUCAACCAUCCAGCCACUCUGCCCCAGGCCUGUAGCAUUGCCUGGGGCAAAUUGGUGUAAUUCAUAGAGGCAUUACUAUUUGAUUUUGAUUGUUAUUCCACAGCAGAGAAGUUGCAUUGACAGAGUUGGUUUUUUUGAAUGCUACUCUGACAAGCAGAGCUGCUGUCACAUAUAAGUAGAAUAAGAGAAUUCUUGCAGUUGGAAAAGAUUACUAAGAUCCUCUACAUCAUCCCAUCACCAACCUUGCCCACUAAACCAUGUGUGUGUACAUUGCAGACCAGAGCUGUUUGCAUCUGCUAGUAAGGUACUCAUUCUUAUUCUACAUCACUUAUUUGUCAAUCCAGCCAAUUAUUUUUCAGGUUUUUCUUUUUUAACUCCUGUGAUUUGAUGUCCACUGAUGACUUAAAAACUUCUCUGUGUAAUAUAGGUGAGAGUGCAAGACAGUUUUAUUUUACCGGUCUUGUUUCUGCCUUUUAAGUCAAAGUUCUUCUUAAGUGCUUUUUUUUUUUUUUUUGAUUUGGUUUUUUUUUUUUUUUUUUUUUUUUUUUUCUUUUGAGGAAGCUGGUUGAGUUGCUACAAGCCUUGAGAAAGAAGAGCUAAUUGUAACAAUCGGUACUGGAGACCUGAUUAUGAAGACAGGAAGAAGAGGUUAAAGAGGUUCAGAUAAUCUGUGACUCGUUUUAAAGACAAUGUGAGUUCCUAAGAUUCAACUACGAUUACUCUAUGAAGAUGGGUACUGACUGAUAUGAUAUGUUCAGAAUCUGAGUGGCAGCACCCAGCGGUGAGGUUAUUGAAGGAAGCUCCUGUUCCACACACAAAUAUCCACGCUGAUGGAAUGGUUUGGUGUUUGAGAGAUGAUGGAGAUGGUUCCAGAUUGAAUUGGAUGUGUGCUACAAACCAAGUCCGGAAAGAUCACGUGGUAAUCUAUGAAACAGGAUAAAGAGUUCAUGGUGGGGAAACAUACAACAAGUGGGCAAGCAGCUUAGCCCAUCUACAUUUUCUUCGUUUCUGAGAGAACAGGAAAGGGAAGGUAGGACAGACAAAGGACUCAGAGUAUGGUAUGUUUUUCAUGAGUAACUGAAUGAGAAACUAAUAGUUUAAUAGCGUAUUGAUUGAAGUUUAUUACACUUCUUUUGGUAACUUCUUUGUUGCCAUAAAUUCAUGUGACUGUCUUCAUGCAUUAAUUCAGAGAAUGGGAAAAAGGCAAAUAGAAUAUUUUGACAGAACUUCCUCUCCCUUGCAAAAGGUAUUCUUGCUGUAUGCUUGUAUUUUUUUCUGCUUCUAUAUUUAUUGUUUAACAGAAUUCAAAAGAAAAAGAAAAAAUCUAAUUUAAUGUCAUUUGUGAUCUGUACUACUGUUCUUGAGGGUUUGUUCCAGGCUAAUUUUCUUAGCUUAAGGCUACCAAAAUAACUAUUCAUUCUACAGUACCACAUUAUGCAGAAUAUAUUGACUAAUAUUAUGGAGCAAUGAUGAUGCCAUCACAUAGCAUGUGAUAUGAGAAGCACUGAACUUGAUGAAUAGCAUUGUCUGCAAGUACUUUCUGGCUGUGUUGUAAAGGAGUUUUUGACAAAACAUAGUACGUCUUUUACAGCUAGCACUCAAUGUGAGAUAACUUGAAAGUUAACACAGAGAUCGUAGUUUCAAAUACAGUGUUAAAACCUUGCAGAAUUCAUUUAUAGGUCCAUGCAGAUAUUCUCAGUUACGGGGUCAGUAAAUCACUUGAAGAAGACUUUGCUCUGAUGAUGCAACUAAAGUUAGCCUUUAAGUCUUAUUGCUACUUACAGUUGCUAUGAGCAUACGUUUUAACUGAAUUGAGUGGGUUAAUCUUUACUAAUAUCUUUGAUACGUAUGGAGUCACUACAUUUUCUUGUUUUUUUUUUUUUCUUGAAAGAGUAAAUAUUGGCUAGAAGCGCAAUGCAUUUAGUACAAUACAAACCAUA